Molecule: unclassified non-coding RNA, 472 nt
Filed under: plant metagenome
Description: partial contains small subunit ribosomal RNA, internal transcribed spacer 1, and 5.8S ribosomal RNA
Source: RNAcentral
UCUCCGUAGGUGAACCUGCGGAGGGAUCAUUAACACGUUCCAUACCAAACUUAUCAACUCAACUGUGAAUUUUGUAUCUGCCUGCUGUCAUAUCAAGUGUAUGGUGUAUACUGAGAUCCUGGAUGAAGGUGGGGGGAUGUUUUGAUGGACACUAGUUAAAUAGUUGUCUGUUCUCUCCUCAUACGGGUCGAGUAUACGAUGACAGUCUCUGAGCUGUCAGCUAUCCUUGAUAUGGCUAGGCCCAAUAUAUACACAAUCAGUGGUAGAUCAUAGAUCGCUGGUUGUGUAUCCACACGACCCUUUUCUUACUAGCUGUAUAUAUAUACACUAGUCCGAAAUUGUAGUAUAAUAUUGAUUUAUAAUAGUUGUCAUCUUCGCUUUCGAGCGUUGUUAGAUGUCGCUAAUAUCUACUAUCGAUAUAUUAUAGAUAGUGAACAUAGCAUAACUCUUAGCAAUGGAUAUCUUGGUUCUC